CGCGGGAUGGCCGAGCGGUCCAAAGCGCUGGUUUUAGGCACCAGUCCCUUCGGGGGCUUGGUUUUGAAUCCCACUCUCGUCA
This 82-nucleotide transfer RNA is filed under the name Angiostrongylus costaricensis. It matches the Rfam family "tRNA". From Rfam's summary of the family: Transfer RNA (tRNA) molecules are approximately 80 nucleotides in length. Lineage: Eukaryota; Metazoa; Nematoda; Chromadorea; Rhabditida; Metastrongylidae. The record is from Rfam by way of RNAcentral.